This 3006-nucleotide ribosomal RNA is filed under the name Triticum aestivum (bread wheat). RNAcentral describes it as "partial small subunit ribosomal RNA". The record is from RNAcentral. Lineage: Eukaryota; Viridiplantae; Streptophyta; Magnoliopsida; Poales; Poaceae.
AUGCUAGAUUUUGUGAGGAUGGUUCCGAGAACCGAGUGUGCAAUUACAAAUGAUCUGCAAUGCAAUGACAUUUUGCCAACUGUACGGCAUCUGUCAGUAGUGACUGGUUACGCAUACAACAAAAAUCAGGUUGGGAACAAACAUUGCAGUAACAAUUUUGAAGAAAAUUUGCGAAAUAAAGUUACAUCAUUGAGAAAAUUGAGAACAUUGGUAUUGAUUGGGCAGUUCGACUCUUCCAUGUUGCAAUCCUUCCAAGACAUACUCCGAGAGGCACAUAAUCUUCGUCUAUUACAGAUUUCUGGAACAUCUGCUGAUUAUAAUUCCCUCAUGUGCAGUUUGGUAAAUCCUACCCAUCUUCGCUAUCUAAAGCUCAAAGUCGAUGAGGUGCACGAGGGUUUGCCUCAAGUUUGGAGCAAGUUUUGCCAUCUUCAAGUAUUAGAUGUCGCCUCAAACAUUGAUUCUAAUGUAAUUUAUGGCAUGAGUAAUGUUCCCAGCUUGCGGCACCUUGUUUCAAAAGAGGGAGUGCACUCUUCCAUUGCUGGAAUUGGUGAAUUGAUCUCACUUCAGGAGCUGCACAAUUUCAGUGUUCAAGAUUCUAAUGGCGUCGAUAUUAUAGAACUUCAAUCCAUGAAUGAACUUGUACGACUUGGGAUUUCUCAACUGCAAAAUGUUAAAACUAGGGAAGAGGCAUACCAGGCUAGACUGAAGGACAAGCACCAGUUGGAAAAGCUGCACUUGUCUUGGAAUGGUACCUCGUCACAUGAUGAAUAUGAUCAUGGCAUGAGCUCUGAAAUGGAGGUGCCCUUGCUGGUAGAGGUUCUUGAGGGUCCCGAAACUUGUACCAGCGUCGAGAUGGAGGAAUGCUUGCCAAAACAGGUGACUGAGGGCCUUCAAACUUCUAGCAGCAUAGUGAUGGAUUGCUUGCAAAUAGACGUGCUCGAGGGUCUUGAGCCAAACAGCAACCUGAAGCAUCUUCAGAUAUCUGGGUAUAAUGGGGCUCUCUCUCCAUUUUGGCUUGCCAGCAAUACCCCAGUUACCUCAUUGCAGACGCUUCAUUUAGAGAACUGUGGAGAAUGGCGGAUACUUCCAUCUCUGGGAAGUCUUCUGUUUCUUACAAAGUUGAAAUUGAGCGGCAUGCAGAAAGUAGUAGAAGUAUUUGUUCCUUCCUUGGAAGAAUUGGUGUUAAUUAAAAUGACAAAGUUGGAGAGGUGCCUUUGCAUUUCCAAGAGGGACUUGAACUCUAGUUUAAGGGUUCUGAAGAUUAAGGGGUGCCCUGUAUUGGAGGUGUUUGAUCUGUUUGGGAACGGGCAGGAACUGAAAAUUGAGGAGCCAUGGUUGCCUGGUCUUCGUGAGCUGAUUGUUCAUGAUUGUCCUCAUUUGCUGAUACCACAUUGUUUACCAUCUUCAAGUACCUUUAGAAUUUUCAACAGGAAAGUUUCAAAAUUUGCAAGAAUUCAAGGUUGGUCCUCCGAAAGAUUAACCAUCUGUAUUUUACACAAGAAUUUUGAGGAAUCUUCUUCCGAUGACGAUUUCAGUGAGUUCUGUGGUGAGCAAUUGGUGUUAGAUGGCAACAUUAUGGCACCGCAUAAUCUGCGGUUCUUGACUCGCUUGAAAAUAGAAGGUUGCCAAGAUCUAUUGUCUGUUUCAUUCAAAGGAUUAAGGAAACUCGUGUCCUUGAAGACGCUGAAAAUACGCAACUGUGGAAAACUUUUCUCUCCAGCUAUUCUGCGAGAGCAUGUCAAUGAGGAUGUGACAGCUGCAAAUUGUGGUGCCCUCCCAUCUCUUCAAUGCCUCAGUAUCAAGUCAUGUGGAAUAACAGGGAAGUGGCUAUCUCUGAUUCUGAAGCAUGCUCUAGUCCCAGAGGAACUGAUUUUACAGGACUGCCCUGAAAUAACACGGUUGUCAAUAGAACCAGAAGAAAACAAUGUAUCAAAUGUUAUCUCAGCCCCAAAUGCGUCAACACUGACAAGUUCAGCUCAAGACAGGCUCUUGUGUAUUCCGUUAAAUCUCGUAUCCUCUCUGAAGAAGAUAUCAAUUUGUGAAUGCCCUGAUCUCGCAUUCUGCGGGAACAAUGAAGGCUUCGCUGAAUUUACCUCCCUUGAAAUGCUAACAAUUAAUUAUGGAUGUGACAUGCUUCCAUCAUCUUUGGUGCAUGAGGAUGGAAGAUGGCUCCUUCCAAAAUCACUUGUAGAACUUGAUGUCAACGAAGAUAGUGAAGAGACGCUGGAGCCGAGCUUUGUGGGGAAUGCCACCUGUCUCAAAGUGUUAGAUGUAUGGGGCAGCUCAUCUUUGGAAUAUCUGAAGCUGCAUCACUGCACGGCACUGGAAAAGUUGACAGUUAGAGACUGUGAAUUGCUUGACGAACUUGAGGGCUUGCCGUCCCUCACAAAGUUGGAAGUAGAGUACAUUUCAAGUUUGGAAUCUCUGCAGCUGCAUUCCUGCACGGCACUGGAAGAGUUGAAUAUUUUGAGCUGUGCAUCACUCUCCACAUUGGAGGGCUUUUCAUCCCUUGGUAGCUUGAGGCAUUUGAAAAUACACGACUGCCUUUGCUUGCAUCCAUGUUUGGAGGGUUUGCCAGGGCAGGGUUACCAACCAUUCCCUCGACUCGAAAGUCUUGAUAUCGAUGACUUUUCUAUUCUGACCACAUCAUUCUUCAAACACCAGACAUCACUCCAAAGCCUCAAACUCAGAACUAGGGACGUAGGGGUGACAAGACUAACGGAUGAGCAAGAGAGAGAACUUUUGCGCCUCGAGUCCCUGCAGACCCUCAAAUUCGAAGCUUCCGAGUAUCUCAAAUACCUUCCUGCAGGGCUACACAGCCACCCCUCCCUCGAGAGGCUGGAGGUCUAUAGAUGUCCAAGAAUCUCAAGGCUGCCAGCAAUGGGCCUCCCACCUUCACUGGAAAAUUUGCACAUCAUGUUCUGCAGCGAGGAGCUGAACGACGGAUGCAGAAUGCUCAGAACAAGCAACUUAAAUGUCAGCAUUAAUUACCAAAAUGUGGAAUGA